GGGCCUGUAGCUCAACGGUUAGAGCGCGAAGCUUAUACCUUCGAUGUUGAGGGUUCGAAUCCUUCCGGGCCCA
Molecule: transfer RNA, 73 nt
Filed under: bacterium
Lineage: Bacteria
Description: tRNA-Ile
Rfam family: tRNA
About the family: Transfer RNA (tRNA) molecules are approximately 80 nucleotides in length. Their secondary structure includes four short double-helical elements and three loops (D, anti-codon, and T loops).
Source: RNAcentral